This is a long non-coding RNA of Oncorhynchus tshawytscha (Chinook salmon), 588 nucleotides long. NCBI's taxonomy places the organism in Eukaryota, Metazoa, Chordata, Actinopteri, Salmoniformes, Salmonidae. The record is from Ensembl.
GACAGGUAGGAUGGAGAGAGAGAUGGACUACAAACUGGGACAGGUAGGAUGGAGAGAGAGAUGGACUACAAACUGGGACAGGUAGGAUGGAGAGAGAGAUGGACUACAAACUGGGACAGGUAGGAUGGAGAGAGAGAUGGACUACAAACUGGGACAGGUAGGAUGGAGAGAGAGCUGGACUACAAACUGGGACAGGUAGGAUGGAAGGAGAGAGAGAUGGGGAACAUGGACUACAAACUGGGACAGGUAGGAUGGAGGGAUGGAAGGAGAGAGAGAUGGACUACAAACUGGGACAGGUAGGAUGGAGGGAUGGAAGGAGAGAGAGAUGGACUACAAACUGGGACAGGUAGGAUGGAGGGAUGGAAGGAGAGAGGGGGCGGAGGAAAGGGAAGACAGACCAAAUGGCAUAGUUGUGUCCUUCUCUUGCAGAUAUGUUCAGUCUCUCUCUCUCUCUCUCUAAUUCCUCUCCUUUAUUGUCUCUCUCUCUCUAAUUCCUCUCCUUUAUUGUCUCUCUCUCUAAUUCCUCUCCUUUAUUGUCUCUCUCUCUAAUUCCUCUCCUUUAUUGUCUCUCUCUCUCUCUAAUUCCUC